RNAcentral lists this long non-coding RNA (919 nucleotides) under Triticum aestivum (bread wheat). RNAcentral's name for it is "long non-coding RNA (TAES_LNC027986)". The record is from RNAcentral. Lineage: Eukaryota; Viridiplantae; Streptophyta; Magnoliopsida; Poales; Poaceae.
AAAUAUUCUACAGAAGAUGUUGCAAAAGUGCAUUUGGAGUAGUUCAGAAAAAGGUUGCUUUUCUUGAGUAUUUCCAUGACCAGUGCUAAAUGCUCCUUGUGUUCCUCCAUGUUUCUGCUGAAAAUUGAGAUAUCAUCAAAAAGUAGCAAAACAAAUUUCCUGAGAUAUGGAGCAAAAAGCUUGUUCAUGAGAGCUUGGAAAGUAGCUGGGGCAUUAGUCAAUCCGAAGGGCAUGACCAGAAACUCAUAAUGCCCUAAAUAUGUCCUGAAAGCAGUUUUAUGCACAUCCUCAGGUUUCAUCCUGAUUUGAUGAUAACCUGAUUUCAGGUCCAGUUUGCUGAAAACAGCUGCUCCAUGUAGUUCAUCCAAUAAAUCUUCUAUCACUGGUAUGGGAAAUUUGUUUUUGAUAGUUUGGGCAUUUAGCUUCCUAUAAUCAAUGCAAAGUCUCCAAGUUCCUCCCUUCUUUCUAACUAAGAUUGCAGGUGAAGCAUAGGGACUCAUACUAUGCUGAAUUAUGUGUCUGUUCAACAAUAGUUUAAUCUGCUAUUCCAUUUCAUUUUUCUGCAAAUGAGGAACUCUGUAUGGUCUGACAUUAGGAGGAGUGGAAUUUUCUUUGAGGGGAAUAGUGUGAUCACAUUCUAUGGAGGGUGGCAGUUCAGUUGGUUCAUUAAACAGCUCCUUGUAGUUGUUUAAAACUGGUAAAACUUCAGCUGCAGGUUUAAGAGGUUCCUGUGCUACCUGUUCCAGGGGAGUUUGGAUGUGUGUCAUAUAAUGCAAACUCAUAGUGAAACCCACAGCCCCUUGAGAACACAACUUGUCCAGCUUUUCAGCAGAUAUCAGUUUAGGAGGUUCACUAGCAGUGCAGUCUACAAAUGUGACCAGCUUGGUUUUGUCCUUAUUGAGAGUGACAGUUCUUGCUU